UCUCUGUGUAUCAUGAUGGAUCAUUGAAGAGAGGCAUGUCUUUGCCAGUUGAAUCAAGUAGACCUACUGCCACAGGAAGGAACAUUGGUUCUUUAACUGGUUGCCCUGGAGUUGGAGGUACCUCUUGACUAAACUUCAAGGAGAAAGUACGAGCUUCAGCAUUGUAGGAUGAUGUAACUUUCACAAGAGGUGUACCAGCUUGGGAGUACCAUUGUAAGAAAUUAGCAAAAUCUGCAUCAUUCGCAUCUCGCAUGGCAGCAAAGAAGUCUUCACAGGUUACAGCUUGGCCAUCAUGCCUCUUAAAAUAAAGAUUCAUGCCCUUUCUGAAACCUUGACUCCCCAACAAGGUUUUGUACAUCCUGACAACUUCAGCUCCCUUUUCAUAAACCGUGACAGUGUAGAAGUUAUCCAUCUUGAUGUAAGAAUGUGGACGCACAGGAUGAGCCAUGGGACCAGCAUCCUGUGGAAACUGAUAAUUUCGAAGCUUUGAAACAUCAGCUAUCCUCUUUACAGUACGGCUUCCCAUGUCUGACGAAAAUUCCUGAUCCCGGAAUA
This 555-nucleotide unclassified non-coding RNA is filed under the name Hevea brasiliensis (rubber tree). Lineage: Eukaryota; Viridiplantae; Streptophyta; Magnoliopsida; Malpighiales; Euphorbiaceae. The record is from RNAcentral.